AGAGUUUGAUCCUGGCUCAGGAUAAACGUUGGCGGUGUGCUUUAUGCAUGCAAGUCGUACGGGGUUAUAGUUUUCGAAUUAUAAUCUAGUGGCGAAUGGCUGAGUAAUACAUAGGUAACCUGCCUGUGAGUGGUGGAUAACUUGCUGAAAAGCAAGCUAAUACAGCAUACGAUGAGCAAGUAUUUCUUGUUUAUUAAAGUCUUCGGGCGCUCGCAGAGGGGCCUAUGCCUGAUUAGCUAGUUGGUGAGGUAACGGCUCACCAAGGCGAUGAUCAGUAGCUGGUCUGAGAGGAUGGUCAGCCAGAUGGGGACUGAGAUACGGCCCCAACUCUUACGGGAGGCAGCAGCAAGGAAUAUUGGGCAAUGGGCGAAAGCCUGACCCAGCGACACCGCGUGAGGGAUUAAGGCCUUCGGGUUGUAAACCUCUUUUCUCGAGGAAGAAGUUCUGACGGUACUCGAGGAAUAAGCCACGGCUAACUACGUGCCAGCAGCCCGCGGUAAUACGUAGGUGGCGAACGUUAUCCGGAUUUAUUGGGCGUAAAGAGAGUGUAGGCGGCUUGUUAAGUCGAGUGUUAAAUCUUCUGACUCAAUCAGGAGCUGCAUUCGAUACUGGUAGGCUUGAGGGCAGCAGAGGAAAACGGAAUUCCCAGUGUAGCGGUGAAAUGCGUUGAUAUUGGGAAGAACACCAGAGGCGAAGGCGGUUUUCCAGGCUGUAUCUGACGCUGAGACUCGAAAGCGUGGGGAGCGAAGCGGAUUAGAUACCCGCGUAGUCC
Molecule: ribosomal RNA, 772 nt
Filed under: uncultured Chloroflexota bacterium
Lineage: Bacteria; Bacillati; Chloroflexota
Description: bacterial SSU rRNA
Rfam family: Bacterial small subunit ribosomal RNA
Source: RNAcentral